RNAcentral lists this transfer RNA (85 nucleotides) under Felis catus (domestic cat). It matches the Rfam family "tRNA". From Rfam's summary of the family: Transfer RNA (tRNA) molecules are approximately 80 nucleotides in length. Their secondary structure includes four short double-helical elements and three loops (D, anti-codon, and T loops). The record is from Rfam by way of RNAcentral. Lineage: Eukaryota; Metazoa; Chordata; Mammalia; Carnivora; Felidae.
ACCUGGGUGGCUUAGUUGGUUGAGCGUCUGACUUUGGCUCAGGUCAUGACUUCAUGAUUUGUGGGUUCAAGCCCCAUAUUGGGCU